CAGGUGCUGCAUGGCGUGUCGUCAGCUCGUGUCGUGAGAUGUUGGUUAAGUCCGCAACGAGCGCAACCCCUGCUGCCAGUUGCCAACGGGUGAAGCCGGGCACUCUGGCGGGACUGCCAUCGACAAGAUGGAGGAAGGUGGGGAUGACGUCAAGUCAUCAUGGCCCUUAUGUCCAGGGCGACACACGUGCUACAAUGGCCGGCACAGCGGGAAGCGAGGCAGUGAUGCCAAGCGGAUCCCUUAAAGCCGGUCUCAGUUCGGAUUGAAGUCUGCAACUCGACUUCAUGAAGCUGGAAUCGCUAGUAAUCGCAGAUCAGCCAAGCUGCGGUGAAUACGUUCCCGGGCCUU
Molecule: ribosomal RNA, 348 nt
Filed under: uncultured Synergistaceae bacterium
Lineage: Bacteria; Thermotogati; Synergistota; Synergistia; Synergistales; Synergistaceae
Description: bacterial SSU rRNA
Rfam family: Bacterial small subunit ribosomal RNA
Source: RNAcentral